Molecule: ribosomal RNA, 421 nt
Filed under: Lactiplantibacillus plantarum
Lineage: Bacteria; Bacillati; Bacillota; Bacilli; Lactobacillales; Lactobacillaceae
Description: bacterial SSU rRNA
Rfam family: Bacterial small subunit ribosomal RNA
Source: RNAcentral
UGGUAUUGAUUGGUGCUUGCAUCAUGAUUUACAUUUGAGUGAGUGGCGAACUGGUGAGUAACACGUGGGAAACCUGCCCAGAAGCGGGGGAUAACACCUGGAAACAGAUGCUAAUACCGCAUAACAACUUGGACCGCAUGGUCCGAGCUUGAAAGAUGGCUUCGGCUAUCACUUUUGGAUGGUCCCGCGGCGUAUUAGCUAGAUGGUGGGGUAACGGCUCACCAUGGCAAUGAUACGUAGCCGACCUGAGAGGGUAAUCGGCCACAUUGGGACUGAGACACGGCCCAAACUCCUACGGGAGGCAGCAGUAGGGAAUCUUCCACAAUGGACGAAAGUCUGAUGGAGCAACGCCGCGUGAGUGAAGAAGGGUUUCGGCUCGUAAAACUCUGUUGUUAAAGAAGAACAUAUCUGAGAGUAACUG